RNAcentral lists this small RNA (574 nucleotides) under Pan troglodytes (chimpanzee). RNAcentral's name for it is "retained intron". The record is from RNAcentral. Lineage: Eukaryota; Metazoa; Chordata; Mammalia; Primates; Hominidae.
GGAUGAGAGGCUAAGCCAUAAUAGAAAGAAUGGAUAAUUAUUGAUUGACCAUCUUUAUUCUGUGGGCUCUGAUUCUCCAAUGGGAAUACCAAGGGAUGGUUUUCCAUACUGGAACCCAAAGGUAAAGACACUCAAGGACAGACAUUUUUGGCAGAGGUAAGAUCUUCUUCGGUCACCAUACUUGAGUUAGCCCUGGGAAAGUGGACAUUUCCAUGCAGAAUCCUAAAGCUUCUUCCAGGCCAUAGUGUCUGUCCCACACCUUCUGGUAUCUCUUGAUAUGCAGCAUAGAUGAAAAUGGCAAGUUCCCUGGCUUUCCUUCUGCUCAACUUUCAUGUCUCCCUCCUCUUGGUCCAGCUGCUCACUCCUUGCUCAGCUCAGUUUUCUGUGCUUGGACCCUCUGGGCCCAUCCUGGCCAUGGUGGGUGAAGACGCUGAUCUGCCCUGUCACCUGUUCCCGACCAUGAGUGCAGAGACCAUGGAGCUGAAGUGGGUAAGUUCCAGCCUAAGGCAGGUGGUGAACGUGUAUGCAGAUGGAAAGGAAGUGGAAGACAGGCAGAGUGCACCGUAUCAAGGGA